GCCAAGGUAGCUCAGUUGGUAGAGCACGCGCCUGAAAAGCGCGGUGUCGCGCGUUCGAUUCGCGCCCUUGGCACCA
RNAcentral lists this transfer RNA (76 nucleotides) under soil metagenome. It matches the Rfam family "tRNA". From Rfam's summary of the family: Transfer RNA (tRNA) molecules are approximately 80 nucleotides in length. The record is from RNAcentral.